This is a non-coding RNA of Oncorhynchus mykiss (rainbow trout), 1040 nucleotides long. Lineage: Eukaryota; Metazoa; Chordata; Actinopteri; Salmoniformes; Salmonidae. The record is from RefSeq and is a predicted model, not a curated record.
UGUAGGUUCCUCGCAAGUCUUGUCUUUCUCCAGGGUCCUGGACCUCUUUGGUUAAAUCGUCAAUUCUUUUGUUAGCUGAGUCCACCAGUAUUUGGACAAAGCUUGAAGCUUUUCUCCUGUUGCUGUAACAAAUGCUUGUAGACAUGUUUUUGAUGAUUUCACACAGGUCAUUCUAUGAUACAUUCCUGUCAUAUGUGACAAAGCUCUACUACAGUCAACAUACAUGCGCUAGAGGAAAAGCAAUGAAAAGCACUCCAUCACUUCUUCAGUAGAGCCCGUGGGUGAUAAACUAUGGGACUGUGGAGGACCAAAGCACCAGAGGACACCACAGCGCCUCACAAACAAUUUGCCCCAGGGAGCUGGUGGGAGGCCGGGGAACAAGAACUCCUGGUGUUUACAGAGAUGUGAAGUCUUUAACCCACUCCCUACCCUGGCAUAAUUUAUUUUAAAACCAUAACCCUUAGCCUCAGCCCAGCUGGUUCGGCUUCCAGAAGCUCAAUCAGAAUGGUGCCUAAAGCCAAACUUGUCAUUGUAACAUUGACUGAAUACUGAGGAUCUGAAUAAAUUGUUCUCUCAUCAUUUAUUUAGCUUUUAUCAUUUUUUUUUUCAGGUACAGAAAGUUGAUUGAGCAUUCAUUUUUGUGUACAACAAUAGCUUGGAGAUGAAUUGCAGUGAAGAGGAGCAGGGUUUAAUGUGUGGAUUGGAAGCUGUGGAGGAUCAAUGAGUGUGAGAUCUUGACAAAGGAAACUGUGGGAAACUAAGGAUGUAGUACAAGUGAUAGACUAAUACUUUCCAAUGCCCCCAUAAGACCUAUAAGGUCUGUUAGAAUGUAUGAUUAAACUGGCACAGUGUUUAAAUACGAAGCAUUCUACACAUACUAAUGAAACAAAAUAACAGAUUUUAGUGUAGUCAAAUGAUUCCUAAUAUAUUAGAGUCGAAAGGCAAAAAACAUUAUUGAUUUCUGGAACUUUAAAUGAGUUCAGUCAAACUUCUAAUGACCCAGCAACACAGAGUUGUGUAAUGUAAGCAAUGUUUGAUUA